ACGCUCGACACCUACGGGAGCGCAGCAGUUGGGAAUAUUGGACAAUGGAGGAAACUCUGAUCCAGUGACGCCGCGUGAAGGAAGAAGGUCUUCGGAUUGUAAACUUAUUUUGUCAGGGAAGAAAAAUGACUGUACCUGAAGAAAAGCACCGGCUAACUACGUGCUAGCAGCCGCGGUAAUCUGAGCGGGCUGGCAAGGC
This 199-nucleotide ribosomal RNA is filed under the name uncultured bacterium. RNAcentral describes it as "partial 16S ribosomal RNA". It matches the Rfam family "Bacterial small subunit ribosomal RNA", at positions 328 to 539 of the family's 1533-position model. The record is from RNAcentral.